This is a long non-coding RNA of Rhipicephalus sanguineus (brown dog tick), 383 nucleotides long. RefSeq lists it as uncharacterized. NCBI's taxonomy places the organism in Eukaryota, Metazoa, Arthropoda, Arachnida, Ixodida, Ixodidae. The transcript has 3 exons. The record is from RefSeq and is a predicted model, not a curated record.
CUGCCCGAGAGCCUUAUCUGGGCUUUUGUGGUCCAGCUAAGUUCGGUGCUGCGUACCAUCCACGCCGCUGGCCUUGCAUGCCGUUCCUUUGAGCCUUCCAAAAUUCUGGUCAUGGGCAAGUCACGUCUGCGCCUCAACUGCUGUGGCAUCAGGAUGUGCUCACUUUUGACUCAGCUGUGCCCAGCGCAAAGGCACUUGUGCCUCACUAUCAGCAAGAAGACUUGGUUUCCUUGGGGAAGUUGGUACUUGCCCUGGCCUGCAACACCAUGGCUGCGAUUCAGCGCGAAAACUUGCAGCAGUCAAUGGAUCUGGUGUCUCGCAACUACUCAACUGACCUCAGGAACCUGAUCUUGUACCUGCUGUCCUCGCCACCUCGUACGCAC